CCUACGGGUGGCAGCAGUGAGGAAUAUUGGUCAAUGGACGAGAGUCUGAACCAGCCAAGUAGCGUGAAGGAUGACUGCCCUAUGGGUUGUAAACUUCUUUUAUAUGGGAAUAAAAUGUUCCACGUGUGGGAUUUUGUAUGUACCAUAUGAAUAAGGAUCGGCUAAAUCCGUGCCAGCAGCCGCGGUAAUACGGAGGGUCCGAGCGUUAUCCGGAUUUAUUGGGUUUAAAGGGAGCGUAGGUGGAUUGUUAAGUCAGUUGUGAAAUUUUGCGGCUCAACCGUAAAAUUGCAGUUGAAACUGGCAUUCUUGAGUACAGUAGAGGCAGGCGGAAUUCGUGGUGUAGCGGUGAAAUGCUUAGAUAUGACGAAGAACUCCGAUUGCGAAGGCAGCUCACUGGACUGCAACUGACACUGAGGCUCGAAAGUGUGGGUAUCAAACAGGAUUAGAUACCCUGGUAGUC
Molecule: ribosomal RNA, 460 nt
Filed under: uncultured bacterium
Lineage: Bacteria
Description: partial 16S ribosomal RNA
Rfam family: Bacterial small subunit ribosomal RNA
Source: RNAcentral